This 151-nucleotide ribosomal RNA is filed under the name Pseudomonas protegens. RNAcentral's name for it is "partial 16S ribosomal RNA". It matches the Rfam family "Bacterial small subunit ribosomal RNA", at positions 365 to 512 of the family's 1533-position model. The record is from RNAcentral. Lineage: Bacteria; Pseudomonadati; Pseudomonadota; Gammaproteobacteria; Pseudomonadales; Pseudomonadaceae.
CCAGAAAUGGCUAAGCUGAUCCAGCCAUGCCGCGUGUGUGAGAAGGUCUUCGGAUUGUAAAGCACUUUAAGUUGGGAGGAAGGGCAGUUACCUAAUACGUGAUUGUUUUGACGUUACCGACAAAAUAAGCACCGGCUAACUCUGUGCCAGC